RNAcentral lists this ribosomal RNA (581 nucleotides) under uncultured bacterium. RNAcentral's name for it is "bacterial SSU rRNA". It matches the Rfam family "Bacterial small subunit ribosomal RNA", at positions 331 to 929 of the family's 1533-position model. The record is from RNAcentral.
CCAGACUCCUACGGGAGGCAGCAGUGGGGAAUAUUGGACAAUGGACCAAGAGUCUGAUCCAGCAAUUCUGUGUGCACGAUGACGUUUUUCGGAAUGUAAAGUGCUUUCAGUUGGGAAGAAAAAAAUGACGGUACCAACAGAAGAAGUGACGGCUAAAUACGUGCCAGCAGCCGCGGUAAUACGUAUGUCACAAGCGUUAUCCGGAUUUAUUGGGCGUAAAGCGCGUCUAGGUGGUUAUGUAAGUCUGAUGUGAAAAUGCAGGGCUCAACUCUGUAUUGCGUUGGAAACUGUAUAACUAGAGUACUGGAGAGGUAAGCGGAACUACAAGUGUAGAGGUGAAAUUCGUAGAUAUUUGUAGGAAUGCCGAUGGGGAAGCCAGCUUACUGGACAGAUACUGACGCUGAAGCGCGAAAGCGUGGGUAGCAAACAGGAUUAGAUACCCUGGUAGUCCACGCCGUAAACGAUGAUUACUAGGUGUUGGGGGUCGAACCUCAGCGCCCAAGCAAACGCGAUAAGUAAUCCGCCUGGGGAGUACGUACGCAAGUAUGAAACUCAAAGGAAUUGACGGGGGCCCGCACAAG